GAUGAACGCUGGCGGCGUGCCUAACACAUGCAAGUCGAGCGAACGGACGAGAAGCUUGCUUCUCUGAUGUUUGCGGCGGACGGGUGUGUAACACGUGGAUACUCCCCUUAUAUGUCUGGGAUCACCUCGGGAAACCGGAGCUAAUCCCGGAUAAUAUUUUGAACCGCAUUGUUCAAAAGUGAAAUACGGUCUUGCUGUCACUUAUAGAUGGAUCCGCGCUGCUUUAGCUAGUUGGUAAGGUAACGGCUUACCAAGGCAACGAUGCAUAGCCGACCUGAGAGAGUGGUCGCCGACACUGGAGCUGGAACGCGGACCAGGCUCCUGCGAGAGGCAGCAGUAGGGUAUCGGACGCAAUAGGCGGGAACCUGGCGGAACGACGGCGCGUGUGAUGUGGAGGUGUUCGGAUCGGGAAGCUCUGUUAUGAGGGAAGAACAUAUGUGUAAGGAGCUGUGGAGAUCGUGACGGUACCUAAUCAAGAAGCCACGGCUAACUACGUG
RNAcentral lists this ribosomal RNA (497 nucleotides) under uncultured bacterium. RNAcentral describes it as "partial 16S ribosomal RNA". It matches the Rfam family "Bacterial small subunit ribosomal RNA", at positions 28 to 507 of the family's 1533-position model. The record is from RNAcentral.